UACGAGAGCCUCGAGCGUUAUCCGGAAUUAUUGGGCGUAAAGGGCGCGUAGGCGGCGCGGUAAGUCACUUGUGAAAUCUCUGAGCUUAACUCAGAACGGCCAAGUGAUACUGCAGUGCUAGAGUGUGGAAGGGGCAAUCGGAAUUCUUGGUGUAGCGGUGAAAUGCGUAGAUAUCAAGAGGAACACCUGAGGUGAAGACGGGUUGCUGGGCCAACACUGACGCUGAGGCGCGAAAGCCAGGGGAGCAAACGGG
This 253-nucleotide ribosomal RNA is filed under the name uncultured bacterium. RNAcentral describes it as "partial 16S ribosomal RNA". It matches the Rfam family "Bacterial small subunit ribosomal RNA", at positions 524 to 776 of the family's 1533-position model. The record is from RNAcentral.